Nannospalax galili (Upper Galilee mountains blind mole rat) is the source of this 104-nucleotide small nuclear RNA. Lineage: Eukaryota; Metazoa; Chordata; Mammalia; Rodentia; Spalacidae. The record is from Ensembl.
GUGCUUGCUUCGGCAGCACAUAUGCUAAAAUUGGAAUGAUACAGAGAUUAACAUGGUCCCUGUGUGAGAAUGACACACAAAUUCAUGAAGUGUUACACAUAAGA